CCUACGGGUGGCAGCAGUGCGGAAUAUUGGACAAUGGACGCAAGUCUGAACCAGCGAUGCCGCGUGCGGGAUGAAGGAUCUAUGAGUUUUAAACUGCUUUUGUACGAGGGUAAACCCCGAUACGUGUAUCGGGUUGACAGUAUCGUACGGAUAAGGAACGGCUAACUCAGCGCCAGCAGCCGCGGGUAUACGGAUGAACAGAGCGUUAUCCGGGUUUAUUGGGUUUAAAGGGUGAGUAGGCGGUUUGAUAAGUUAGAGGUGAAAUGUCGGGGCUCAACCCCGAAACUGCCUCUAAUACUGUUGGACUAGAGAAUAGUUGCGGUAGGCGGAAUGUAUGGUGUAGCGGUGAAAUGCUUAGAGAUCAUACAGAACACCGAUUGCGAAGGCAGCUUACCAAACUAUAUCUGACGUUGAGGCACGAAAGCGUGGGUAGCAAACAGGAUUAGAUACCCGGGUAGUC
RNAcentral lists this ribosomal RNA (460 nucleotides) under uncultured bacterium. RNAcentral's name for it is "partial 16S ribosomal RNA". It matches the Rfam family "Bacterial small subunit ribosomal RNA", at positions 338 to 795 of the family's 1533-position model. The record is from RNAcentral.